AGAGUUUGAUCCUGGCUCAGGACGAACGCUGGCGGCGUGCCUAACACAUGCAAGUCGAACGGAACUUAGUUGAAGGAAUUCUUCGGAAGGACAUUGGUUAAGUUUAGUGGCGGACGGGUGAGUAACGCGUGAGUAACCUGCCUCCGAGAGGGGAAUAACAAUCUGAAAAGAUUGCUAAUACCGCAUAACAUAGCGAAGUCGCAUGGCAGCGCUAUCAAAGAUUUAUCGCUCGGAGAUGGACUCGCGUCCGAUUAGUUAGUUGGUGAGGUAACGGCUCACCAAGACCGCGAUCGGUAGCCGGACUGAGAGGUUGAACGGCCACAUUGGGACUGAGACACGGCCCAGACUCCUACGGGAGGCAGCAGUGGGGGAUAUUGCGCAAUGGGGGAAACCCUGACGCAGCAACGCCGCGUGAAGGAUGAAGGUUUUCGGAUUGUAAACUUCUUUUAUUAAGGACGAAAAAAUGACGGUACUUAAUGAAUAAGCUCCGGCUAACUACGUG
This 502-nucleotide ribosomal RNA is filed under the name uncultured Ruminococcus sp. Its description in RNAcentral is "bacterial SSU rRNA". It matches the Rfam family "Bacterial small subunit ribosomal RNA", at positions 8 to 507 of the family's 1533-position model. The record is from RNAcentral. Lineage: Bacteria; Bacillati; Bacillota; Clostridia; Eubacteriales; Oscillospiraceae.